This 657-nucleotide ribosomal RNA is filed under the name uncultured Roseateles sp. RNAcentral describes it as "bacterial SSU rRNA". It matches the Rfam family "Bacterial small subunit ribosomal RNA", at positions 103 to 756 of the family's 1533-position model. Lineage: Bacteria; Pseudomonadati; Pseudomonadota; Betaproteobacteria; Burkholderiales; Sphaerotilaceae. The record is from RNAcentral.
CGGGUGAGUAAUGUAUCGGAACGUGCCCAGUCGUGGGGGAUAACUGCUCGAAAGAGCAGCUAAUACCGUAUACGACCUGAGGGUGAAAGCGGGGGAUCGCAAGACCUCGCGCGAUUGGAGCGGCCGAUAUCAGAUUAGGUAGUUGGUGAGGUAAAGGCUCACCAAGCCGACGAUCUGUAGCUGGUCUGAGAGGACGACCAGCCACACUGGGAUUGAGACACGGCCCAGACUCCUACGGGAGGCAGCAGUGGGGAAUUUUGGACAAUGGGCGCAAGCCUGAUCCAGCCAUGCCGCGUGCGGGAAGAAGGCCUUCGGGUUGUAAACCGCUUUUGUCAGGGAAGAAAAGGUUCUGGCUAAUACCUGGGACUCAUGACGGUACCUGAAGAAUAAGCACCGGCUAACUACGUGCCAGCAGCCGCGGUAAUACGUAGGGUGCAAGCGUUAAUCGGAAUUACUGGGCGUAAAGCGUGCGCAGGCGGUUAUGCAAGACAGAGGUGAAAUCCCCGGGCUCAACCUGGGAACUGCCUUUGUGACUGCAUGGCUAGAGUACGGUAGAGGGGGAUGGAAUUCCGCGUGUAGCAGUGAAAUGCGUAGAUAUGCGGAGGAGCACCGAUGGCGAAGGCAAUCCCCUGGACCUGUACUGACGCUCAUGCACGA